CCUACGGGUGGCAGCAGUGAGGAAUAUUGGUCAAUGGGCGCGAGCCUGAACCAGCCAAGUAGCGUGAAGGAUGACUGCCCUACGGGUUGUAAACUUCUUUUAUACAGGAAUAACGUGAGUUACGUGUGCGUUUUUGUAUGUACGUUAUGAAUAAGGAUCGGCUAAUUCCGUGCCAGCAGCCGCGGUAAUACGGAGGAUCCGAGUGUUAUCCGGAUUUAGUGGGUUUAAAGGGAGCGUAGAUGGGUUGUUAAGUCAGUUGUGAAAGUUUGCGGCUCAACCGUAAAAUUGCAAUUGAUACUGGCAGCCUUGAGUACAGUUGAGGUAGGCGGAAUUCGUGGUGUAGCGGUGAAAUGCUUAGAUAUCACGAAGAACUCCGAUUGCGAAGGCAGCCUACUAAACUGCCACUGACAUUGAUGCUCGAAAGUGUGGGUAUCAAACAGGAUUAGAUACCCCGGUAGUC
Molecule: ribosomal RNA, 460 nt
Filed under: uncultured bacterium
Lineage: Bacteria
Description: partial 16S ribosomal RNA
Rfam family: Bacterial small subunit ribosomal RNA
Source: RNAcentral